Molecule: ribosomal RNA, 492 nt
Filed under: uncultured bacterium
Lineage: Bacteria
Description: partial 16S ribosomal RNA
Rfam family: Bacterial small subunit ribosomal RNA
Source: RNAcentral
AGUGAACGCUGGCGGUAGGCCUAACACAUGCAAGUCGAACGGCAGCACAGUAAGAGCUUGCUCUUACGGGUGGCGAGUGGCGGACGGGUGAGGAAUACAUCGGAAUCUACUUUUUCGUGGGGGAUAACGUAGGGAAACUUACGCUAAUACCGCAUACGACCUACGGGUGAAAGCAGGGGAUCUUCGGACCUUGCGCGAUUGAAUGAGCCGAUGUCGGAUUAGCUAGUUGGGGGGGUAAAGGCCCACCAAGGCGACGAUCCGUAGCUGGUCUGAGAGGAUGAUCAGCCACACUGGAACUGAGACACGGUCCAGACUCCUACGGGAGGCAGCAGUGGGGAAUAUUGGACAAUGGGCGCAAGCCUGAUCCAGCCAGACCGCGUGGGUGAAGAAGGCCUUCGGGUUGUAAAGCCCCUUUGUUGGGAAAGAAAAGCAGCAGGUUAAUACCCCGCUGUUCUGACGGUACCCAAAGAAUAAGCACCGGCUAACUUCGUG